CUGUCCCGUGGCACAGAGUGCCCGGAAAAGGCAAAGACACAUCCCUCUUUCAUGAUGUCACAGCAGCUCUACCUUGCUCUGCGAGGAAGGGCCGGAGCCAGCUUUGCCGAGGGGGGAAGGAGAGCUUGGUCGGGUUGAGAAAACAGACCCCACCCAGGAGCGCGAUCGCUUCUGAGCCACAUCCAUAGCGGUGCAACCAACCCGGGCACGGGAUCCCGCCCGCAGCCGCGGGGAUUAGCGCUGAUGGAAGGGGCCAGGGACGGAGAUGCGGGGUACGGCGGUGGGAACCGAGGGGUCCGCAUCCCCCCCACCCCGGGGGCGGAAAAGCACUGACCAAUGGUGGAGAUGAAGGUGGUGUUGAAGGCAUCGUCGGAGAAGCGGAAGAGGACGCAGGUCUUGCCGACCCCCGAGUCCCCGAUCAGCAGCAGCUUGAAGAGCAGGUCGUAGGUUUUCUUCGCCAUGGGGGAGGGCGCGG
Long non-coding RNA from Passer domesticus (house sparrow), 475 nucleotides. RefSeq lists it as uncharacterized. The transcript is spliced from 2 exons. NCBI's taxonomy places the organism in Eukaryota, Metazoa, Chordata, Aves, Passeriformes, Passeridae. The record is from RefSeq and is a predicted model, not a curated record.